Molecule: ribosomal RNA, 277 nt
Filed under: uncultured Clostridia bacterium
Lineage: Bacteria; Bacillati; Bacillota; Clostridia
Description: partial 16S ribosomal RNA
Rfam family: Bacterial small subunit ribosomal RNA
Source: RNAcentral
UGCGACUUCGGUCAAAUGACUUUUGAACUUAGUGGCGGACGGGUGAGUAACGCGUGAGCAACCUGACCCUUUGAGGGGGAUAACACCUGGAAACAAGUGCUAAUACCGCAUAAGACCACGACCCGGCAUCGGGAUGAGGUCAAAGGAGCAAUCCGCAGAGGGAGGGGCUCGCGUCCCAUUAGAUAGUUGGCGGGGUAAGGGCCCACCAAGUCGACGAUGGGUAGCCGAGCUGAGAGGCUGAUCGGCCACACUGGAACUGAGACACGGUCCAGACUCC